Long non-coding RNA from Alligator mississippiensis (American alligator), 1441 nucleotides. RefSeq lists it as uncharacterized. Lineage: Eukaryota; Metazoa; Chordata; Crocodylia; Alligatoridae. The record is from RefSeq and is a predicted model, not a curated record. The transcript is spliced from 3 exons.
UGGAAAUCUAGGGAGGACGUCAGAGCAGGCUAAGUUAGGGAGAGGGGAAGGGUUGUCGUUUGUCCAGAGGAGAACGAAGAGCCCUUGCCUGCCUAAUGAGAGCACUGGUGAGGCUGUGUAUGGCGAUGGGCUUUAGAGCCAGUGCUGCUGCAGUUUUGUUUAUGCACGAGUCAGUUGAACUAGCUUAGAGACUGGGAAGACCGUUUCCUCCUGGAUCCCCAUUAAUUGGUUGCCAGGGGCCCCACAACAACUCACCUACAACCCACACAGUCCAGGACCAUCUACUACAGCUACGUGCUCACAGAGCCAGUGCAUCCGUACAGCUUCACCCAUUGUCAGCUACUUCUACAGGGUGCUGCAGGGCCGACUUCUUCAGGGACAGGGGGACAUGGAACAGUUUAUGUCCCGAAUACAAAGAAGCAGAGACUUUGAAGACAUCUCUGUUUCUCUGGGCCACAUGGCAGCUUUGCAAAAGAAUGAGUUCCUCUUACUAAGGACACUAAUCCCAUCCCACAGACUCAGCCGUACAUGUGUUGCAUACCAUGGCUCCACGUAUGAGUGCAAAGGAUUGGGUGCAUGUAGUGGGCCAGUAGGGGACGCUCCUGCACUGAGCCAUUCACCACACUGCGCCCAAAUACCUACCGAGUGCCUCCCCCAGGGCACCUCACAUCUGGCCACCCCACUUCCUGGAGCACAUCUGCAAGCCUGGGGUAACCGCUGCCGCCACCCAGGGGCCUGAUCUUUAUUUGGGCCCUGUGCCCUCUGGGCUACACAGGCCUUGUAGACCUCGAGGGUGCUUGACCCACUGCGAGAACUUGGGGUGCUUCCUUAAGCCUGAAGCACAGACAGGCUGGGACAGCAUUCCUCCACAGUGAGGACCUCAGCUUUGACUGCACGGCUAGACUAGGAUGCUGGGAGCACAGAAUGAGCAGAAGCCUUUUUCUAUCCUCUGUGUCUUUCUCCUCUGAACCAGGCAUCUCCUACUGAGAACAUUUCCAUCUACAGUAUUUAUGGAGCCCACAAAGGCAUCACCAAACACCGCAGCGAUCACGUCUGUUCAGGACGGGGGGAAGUGUUGAGUUAUGGAGGAGACUGGAGGAGAUGUAGCAAGGCUUACACAUGGCCGUGACUCCACCAAGAGAAGCCACGAGGAGGAGGCUCAGCAGCAGGAGGAGAGUGUAGAGGACACGGGAUCUCUUUGGAGAGGACUCAGGAAGGUUUCCUGGAAGAAGAAGAAGAAACAUCUCCAGGCUCUUCUGCUGCUGCUUUCAUCGUGGACGAAGAACCCAGCCGCCAUCUCCUCCCAACUGCUCGGUGAGAGUAUCCUUCACGCACAAAAAUGUAGGAACUGAGCACUGCAAACGAGAAGUGACCACUGCAUAUCCUCUGACCAAGUGAAACGAAAGGCUUCUGACCACCAAGUAAAAAGUGCUUCCACCAA